UACGGAGGAUGCAAGCGUUAUCCGGAAUGAUUGGGCGUAAAGGGUCCGCAGGUGGCAGUGUAAGUCUGCUGUCAAAGAAUGAGGCUUAACCUCAUCAAGGCAGUGGAAACUACACAGCUAGAGUACGGUCGGGGUAGAAGGAGUUCCUGGUGUAGCGGUGAAAUGCGCAGAUAUCAGGAAGAACACCCGUGGCGAAGGCGGCUCUCUGGAACGCAACUGACGCUGAGACGCGAAAGCGUGGGGAGCAAACAGG
Molecule: ribosomal RNA, 253 nt
Filed under: uncultured bacterium
Lineage: Bacteria
Description: partial 16S ribosomal RNA
Rfam family: Bacterial small subunit ribosomal RNA
Source: RNAcentral